This is a non-coding RNA of Arachis ipaensis, 2696 nucleotides long. NCBI's taxonomy places the organism in Eukaryota, Viridiplantae, Streptophyta, Magnoliopsida, Fabales, Fabaceae. The record is from RefSeq and is a predicted model, not a curated record.
UGUGUUUCAACUACAAAAAGAACCAAAAUAACGGCAGUUUUCUUUCCAAUGGCCACAAUCAAAUCAACAAGAGAGCCAAAAGCCCUAAGGGCUCCCGUCACUCACUCGACCAACUUCACAGCUCUGAAAUCUGAAUGACUCUCCCUUCUCCAACCCUGGCUUCUCUUUGACCACCAACACAGCGCCACCAUCGAUCAUCAUCCCCAAUGUCUCCGUCAGAACCACAGAACCACCAUUGUCAUCUUCUUCUUCUUCUCCCAUUCUUUCUUCUUCUUCUUCCACCUUCGCCGAACAACCCUGGGAAAACCCUUCUCUCUUUCUUUUCCUGUCUUCUGCCUUCUUUGUCUCGCCACUGGCUCCUAUCCAGCGCCGUCGCGACCAUCUUUUUCUCCUCCUUACAACCUUGCACUGUGGCUCUCUAGCUCGCCCCUGCCUCCCUCAUUUUCAGUCGCAGAAUCAGAACAGAGCCACUCCAGUUCUAGCGAGUUCAGACGCAGCAGCGGCUGGUCAUUGCCACUGCAUCCCUCUCUCCUAGCUCUUGCUCUAUUCUUCGACUCAGUUGGUGCAGUUGUCGCUGUUGCUGCCUUGAAGGAGUUGAGGCUACUGCCGCUGCUCUGGCUGCAUUGAGGGUUGCUGCCGCUGUUGAAAAUUAAGGGAUAAAGAAAGGGGAUUAUCGCGGUUAGUUCCUACGGGUUCGACAAAUCAAGGUAGGGGGUUUGUUUUAAAAAUAAAGGUUUUAAAGUAUGAACGCCAAUAACAUUAAAUGAGUAAUUGCAAAUAGUUUAUGGCUUCUUUGUGUGAAUAAUUGUUGGAAUUGAGUUGAAUCAUAGCUGUGAUUGGUGAUUGGUUUAAUGAUUUCAUGUAGUAAUUAUUGAUGAUGUUGUGUGUUUUGAAGUGAUACAUGAUGAUAGUACUUGUUGAUGAUGGUUUUGAGUAUGGAAUAUUGAGAUGGUUGCUGGAAAUUUAUUUGAUGAAUCAUAACUUGAGAUAUGUUGUGAUAGAUGAGAUGCUAAAGAAUGGAUGCUGUGAUAAUAUGAUUACGUUGCACCUAUAAUGUGAAGUGGUGAAAUAUUGAAUUAAGCAUUCGUGGGCAAAUUUUGUUAGUUUAAAGAAAGUUAGAAUUAUGGUUUUAGAGGAAUUUUAGGCUUGAAUAUAAAAUAUGGUAUGAAGGGUUGUUAAAAUUACUUAAUGCAGAAUUUUCUGCAUAAUUGGCAGCAGCUUAAAAUAAAAACUGGGAGCAAUCUAGACAUAAUUCUUUAUCCAAAUUAUUUUUCUGUCAAACUUCAAGAAGUCGAGAUUUCUCCAUAAAAAUUUCAGGGAAUUUGGCCAAGUGGUUUGGAAGAUAUGAAUUUUUGAAGUUUAGUGGUUGCUGCAGAAUUUUCUGGUUUUCUGGUUUUGCAGUACCAACUUCCAGACGCUAUAACUUUUGAUUUAUUUGGAAUUUUGAGUUGCUUCCAAAAGGGUUUUAAAGAUAUAUCAGUCUAUUUUAAGUGAGUAUAAAUUUCACAUCCAUUUCUAUUUUGUAGAGUUAGUUAUGUUUCUUGGAAGUUGGGCUGUUUGCAGGAAAUUCAGAACUAAUUUAAAGAAACAGGGCAGCACUUUCAACUGACUUUUAAUUAACCAUACGAGAUGCUAUGGAUCUGAAAUUUAUUUGUCCUAAAACUUAUGAGUGUUAAGUAUAUCCUCACCAAAAUUUAGCCGUAAUGGAUUAGAAUUGAAUUUAUUACAGAUUUAUUAAAAACAGAACUGCUUGCUGUAUUUUUUUCUAAAUUCCCUUUAGUGCAGCAACAGAUUUUAUUAAGUUGGCUAUUUAAUUCAAUUCUAAUCCAAACGUGGUGAAACUUGGCUUAGACCUAAAGGAUAUGUCCAAAUUUAGCAGAAUGUAUGAACUUAGUUAAACAAAGGUGUGUACGUUAUCCCUAGGAAACGUUUAAAGUUAAAUGGUGAUGCAGAGGUACACCUAGUUUCAUGGUGAUGUGGAGGUACUUUUAGCAACUUGGUGAUGCGGAGGUGUGUUUAGUUGUAAGACGAUGCGGAGGCAUAAUGGAAAGGAAAGAAAGUAAGAAAUAAAGGGUGGAAAAGAUACUUAAAGGGAAAGAAAAAGAAUGAGGAACAAGGAAUGAAAUAAAAGUUGAGAAUUAUAUUGAAUGGGCUUUUGUGCCAAACUGCUAAUGCGAAAGGGCCCGCCUAACUGAUAGCCUGAGAUUGCUAAUGCGGGAAUGUUCGCCUAAUUGAUAGCACUGUUCCUUACUGUGAUACACAUUGAACUGUUAUUAUAAUGAGGCCUAAUUGACACGGGUAACCGUGAUGCCAAUAUGUCUAAUUGACACAGUAAAGGGACCAUAUUCGGGGUUCACUCCGAGUACGUCGGGUUGCGGGUAGACAACCGACGCAUGAGCUCAUGGCCUGCGCUAGGAACAGGCAUGCAUCAUCUUGUUUGCGCAUUUACAUUUGAUUGCGUUUGCUUUAUUGUUCAUUUGUGAUUGAGCUGUUGUUUUGGUGAUUUGCUUGUGUGCUUGAUGAAUAUUUUACUUGUGUUGUAGUCUUAAUAAUGUAUUUAGGAAUGUUGUUUAUGGAUAAGGAACUGUUAAUGUGACUGGAUUUUUGUGUAAGUAACGUGAUUUAAAGAAAGGAAUUUAAAACUGUUUUAAGUGAAAUUGUUUUUGUGAUAUGAACUAGCUAUUUGUAUUUACUCU